Molecule: long non-coding RNA, 971 nt
Organism: Gallus gallus (chicken)
Lineage: Eukaryota; Metazoa; Chordata; Aves; Galliformes; Phasianidae
Source: Ensembl
GUGAGAGCUGUGCAUGACCUGGUGCUCCUCAAAUGACCCCUACUCCUCCCUUCCCCACAGUAUUCAGUAUCUCCUGUGAGGUUUUUGUCUUUCCUUCCAAGAUUGCAGUCUCCGCCAUCAGAUACCUUUUUCAUUCCUAAUCUCUAUGGCUUGCAGCGUUGGACUUCCCUGGACAGUUGGAAAGGGGUGAGUGAUUCAUUCAUCCUUACCAGAAGGUGAUCUCUGCUGGUCUUGUCUUGUUUCCAACAGGUGGCAGUGGAGUUUUACAUCCCUCCCGAGCGGUGCAAGGACUCUGCUGAGGCUCUUGGGGAACACAGCAGGAACCCACAGCCAGAGAUGGACGCCAGGAUCCGCUCCUUCCUGUGUCUGGCAAGCUCUGUUGACCACUGAGGUCAUUCCCACGCUUGCAGUGGCUGAAAAUGGACGCCUGAUGGUAUCUAUGAUGCCCCAAAUGCAAUCUUGUAAGGUUUGGCCAAGUGUGGUGGGAAAGGAAGAGGAUUGCAGAGACGACCACCGGGUGCCAUUUGCACUUCCUGACCUCCCUGGGUGGUGUCGGUGGAGAACUGCGCCCUUUUGAUGGGCGCAAAGAGUGUAUUGUGACUCUAGGUGGGCAAAACAGGAACGCAGAGCCAGAGAUGGACACCAAGAUGCAUUCCUUCCUCUGUCUGUGACCCAACUGCAGGCUGCUGUGCAUUGACCAAGGGUGAUGCCAAGAGAAGAGGUGGGCUCCAAAAGAGGCUGCGGGAUAGGAGACUCUGCUGUCAGAUGUCGUUGCCUGUCCAUCCCUCCCGAGCUUGCAGAGUUGGAUGUUACCUCAGCAUUGGAUAAGGGGUAAGUGAUUCCUGCAUCCUUACCAGAAGGUAAUCUCUACUCGUCUUGUGCUGUGUGGAACAGGUUGCAGUGGAGAAGUGCAGUUGUCCGGGGCGCUGUAAGGACUCUGCUGAGGCUCUUGGUGGACACAGCAGGAACCC